Molecule: long non-coding RNA, 1215 nt
Organism: Triticum aestivum (bread wheat)
Lineage: Eukaryota; Viridiplantae; Streptophyta; Magnoliopsida; Poales; Poaceae
Exons: 3
Source: RefSeq, a predicted model, not a curated record
CUAAAAUAUUACCAGAAGUAGUAGGAGACCAUUUGAAAGUGCCAAUGUCAUGAUGCACUAAUUAGUGAGAGAAUGGUUGCAUCUUCCACCAAUUUCCUGAUAAUAGUUUAUUUGAUUAUUCUUUUUUCAGCAGAACUAAUGUAGAUGUGUUGAAACAAUCUUGUGUUGCCUGUUAUAGAUUAUCCAUUUUGGUUAUCUCGACUACGAAGCAUCAAGUUCUGUUCCAUGAUUCCAAAAUUCAUACUUUAUGCAAAGAGGAAAUGUUCCAAUUCCUUGUGGAACUAAGACAGUUGUACAGAAAGUAGCUUUUCCAAUUUGUCGUGUAACCUUACAAUAAUUACUAGAUUAUUAGUAUUCACUUAUACUAUACAUACAGAUAAGGGUGCCAUUGCCUGAGAUUAACUGAUGGUUGUGCCACUUAACUAUUCUUCAGGUUAUUGUUCUAUCUACGGUUCAUGACUCCUGGAUGCCCAGUGAAGGACAUGAUAAGUGCAGUGAUCAGUGUUUGCUUUCAUUUUGUCUUUGGAUUUGUGGAGUUUAUUCGCCAUGUCGAACUGUUUACUAUGCAGCUUGAUGUCUUGUGUUAUGUAACAGACCAUUGUUUUGGUCCUUUCUACUACUACAUAAUGUCAUGGUCCAAACAAUGAAAACUAUAACUGAACUUAGUAAGCAUUUGACUUCAGACAUGCACUAAGAUAUAGCUUUUUAAGACUAGUACCAUGAGAAUUGGCACUGCUGUUUUGCAUGAAUAGUGUGCUUUAAUUUAGUCGUUACACAUUUAUUUAGUACUCCUUAAGAAUAACAUGAAACAGUGUACUCUUAUAUGUUCAAUAUUUUGUCAGGACAAGCCUCUGGCUGCUGAGGUAAAUUACAAAGCACUAGGAUUGAAGAGAUGCGAAAAGGGGGGGGGGGGGGCAUAAACUUGUUUGUUUGUUUUUUGCGAAAGAGCAUACACUUGUUAACCUGACCAGAAAAGAUGGCUUAAAAAAUGUGAUAUCAUUACGUGCACAGAGAGUGACGCAAUGCUGGAGGUAGCCACAAUGGUGGGAGCAAUAUCUAUGGUGAUGAGCAUAAUACGUGUGACUCAACCGAGUGAAGUUCUCAAGCUAAGAUGUUGAUGGUGUUUGCUGUUUUUGGACCAUUAAUCUUUAGAAAAAUGUUAAGAACAUUCUGUUAUAGUUACUGUUUCGUUUUUUAAGGAUCAUUGAAGUUAAA